UCAGAUGUUUAUGGUAAAGAAGAUCUCACCCUCUCCAGUUUUUCUCUAGCCCUCAAACAGACUUUGCCAUUUUGUGAUGAAAAGGGAGAAGAAAAUUUGGGAAAGGUGACGUGGUGAAGCAUAGCUUACACAUGCUGACAGAAGUGUGCCCACACAGCUCACAUGGGUUUGUGCCUGGAGGUUGGAUGCAGCUACCCAGGAAGAGGUUUGUACAGAGAAUGACUUCCUCCAGUUCCGAACUCUCAUUGUCUCAUCUGCAGCUGCCCUGAUUUGAGCUGAAAAAAAUCUCUGGAUUUUAGGUUGGCUUCCCAGUUCAUGGGGUUACAUGGAAUUGUUACAAGGAUUGCUGCAGGGGUACUGUUUGACUGACCAGUCUGAAAAGUCUGCAAUUCCUCUGAUCGGCCUCUGCUCUCUGAUCACUGUGGUGGCAGGAGACCCAGCCCAAGCUAUUUCUGAGAAACUUUUUGUCAUUUGAUAGCUUAACUAGCAGAGUAAGAAGAUACCAGGCACUGUGGACUCUGCAGCAUCCAACAGUGAAUGUGAGGUAAUGUAAUCCUCUUCCUUCAAGGAGCACAUUUGUCUGAAAAGCACUUGGAGACAGCUCUUCCUGGGUUUUCAGCAUAUUUAAUCAAACAGAAAAAGUCCUGAGGGCAAGGAGAGUCACAGACUAUGUGUGGUUUAACAUACUAUCUCUUCUUACAGUAUGUCAGAAAUUGUAAUGGAUUUGCUGUAUAACAGGAGACAGACUGCAAGUAAUUAAGAGCAAGUAAUCCU
Long non-coding RNA from Cygnus olor (mute swan), 774 nucleotides. RefSeq lists it as uncharacterized. Lineage: Eukaryota; Metazoa; Chordata; Aves; Anseriformes; Anatidae. The record is from RefSeq and is a predicted model, not a curated record. The transcript is spliced from 3 exons.